ACUGGUGUCAGCCGCCGCGGUAAUACCAGCUCUCCGAGUGGUNGGGAUGAUUAUUGGGCCUAAAGCGUUCGUAGCCGGCCUGGCAAGUCUCUCGUUAAAUCCAGCGACUUAAUCGCUGGGCUGCGGGAGAUACUGUUGGGCUUGGGAGCGGAAGAGGCCGACGGUAUCCUCGGGGUAGGGGUGAAAUCCUAUAAUCCCGGGAGGACCACCAGUGGCGAAGGCUGUCGGCUAGAACGCGCUCGACGGUGAGGGAUGAAAGCUGGGGGAGCGAACCGGAUUAGAUACCCGGGUAGUCCCAGCUGUAAACGAUGCAGGCUAGGUGUUGGUGCGGCUACGUGCCGCUCCAGUGCCGCAGGGAAGCCGUUAA
This 367-nucleotide ribosomal RNA is filed under the name uncultured archaeon. RNAcentral describes it as "bacterial SSU rRNA". It matches the Rfam family "Archaeal small subunit ribosomal RNA", at positions 451 to 818 of the family's 1478-position model. The record is from RNAcentral.